RNAcentral lists this ribosomal RNA (232 nucleotides) under uncultured bacterium. RNAcentral's name for it is "partial 16S ribosomal RNA". It matches the Rfam family "Bacterial small subunit ribosomal RNA", at positions 99 to 334 of the family's 1533-position model. The record is from RNAcentral.
CGGACGGGUGAGUAAUGUCUGGGAAACUGCCUGAUGGAGGGGGAUAACUACUGGAAACGGUAGCUAAUACCGCAUAACGUCGCAAGACCAAAGAGGGGGACCUUAGGGCCUCUUGCCAUCGGAUGUGCCCAGACGGGAUUAGCUAGUAGGUGGGGUAACGGCUCACCUAGGCGACGAUCCCUAGCUGGUCUGAGAGGAUGAUCAGCCACACUGGGACUGAGACACGGCCCAG